RNAcentral lists this ribosomal RNA (484 nucleotides) under uncultured organism. RNAcentral describes it as "bacterial SSU rRNA". It matches the Rfam family "Bacterial small subunit ribosomal RNA", at positions 29 to 507 of the family's 1533-position model. The record is from RNAcentral.
AUUGAACGCUGGCGGCAUGCCUUACACAUGCAAGUCGAACGGUAACGCGGGGCAACCUGGCGACGAGUGGCGAACGGGUGAGUAAAGUAUCGGAACGUGCCCAAUAGUGGGGGAUAGCCCGGCGAAAGCCGGAUUAAUACCGCAUGAGACCUGAGGGUGAAAGCGGGGGACUCGCAAGAGCCUCGCGCUACUGGAGCGGCCGAUAUCAGAUUAGGUAGUUGGUGGGGUAAAGGCCUACCAAGCCGACGAUCUGUAGCUGGUCUGAGAGGACGACCAGCCACACUGGGACUGAGACACGGCCCAGACUCCUACGGGAGGCAGCAGUGGGGAAUUUUGGACAAUGGGCGCAAGCCUGAUCCAGCCAUGCCGCGUGCGGGAAGAAGGCCUUCGGGUUGUAAACCGCUUUUGUCAGGGAAGAAAUCCUUUGAACUAAUACUUCGGAGGGAUGACGGUACCUGAAGAAUAAGCACCGGCUAACUACGUG